UGGGGAAUAUUGCGCUAAUGCGCGAAAGCGUGACGCAGCGACGCCGCGUGGGGGAUGAAGGCCCUCGGGUCGUAAACCCCUUUCGCCAGGGACGAAGGGAGACUGACGGUACCUGGAGAAGAAGUCCCGGCUAACUACGUGCCAGCAGCCGCGGUAACACGUAGGGGACGAGCGUUGUCCGGAUUCAUUGGGCGUAAAGCGCGCGUAGGCGGCCCAGAAAGUCGGUUGUGAAAGCCUGGGGCUCAACCCCGGGACUGCAUCCGAUACUCCUGGGCUGGAGGUAGGUAGGGGAGAUCGGAAUUCCUGGUGUAGCGGUGAAAUGCGCAGAUAUCAGAGGAACACCGGUGGCGAAGGCGGAUCUCUGGGCCUUACCUGACGCUGAGGCGCGAAAGCUAGGGGAGCGAACAGGAUUAGAUACCCUGGUAGUCCUAGCCGUAAACGUGGGUGCUAGGUGUGGGCGGACAUCGACCCCGUCC
RNAcentral lists this ribosomal RNA (476 nucleotides) under uncultured Actinomycetes bacterium. RNAcentral describes it as "bacterial SSU rRNA". It matches the Rfam family "Bacterial small subunit ribosomal RNA", at positions 355 to 842 of the family's 1533-position model. The record is from RNAcentral. Lineage: Bacteria; Bacillati; Actinomycetota; Actinomycetes.